UUGUCUCUGGGGUCAGACGUGUUCUGGAAUACAGAUAGAGACCCAUGGCCAUAUUUUUUUUAAAAUUUUUUUUAAUUUUAUUUAUUUAUGAUAGGCACACAGUGAGGGAGAGAGAAGCAGAGACAUAGGCAGAGGGAGAAGCAGGCUCCAUGCACCGGGAGCCCGAUGUGGGAUUCGAUCCCGGGUCUCCAGGAUCGCGCCCCGGGCCAAAGGCAGACACCAAACCGCUGCGCCACUCAGGGAUCCCGAGACCCAUGGCCAUAUUAACAGAGCUUGUGGAAAGUGGUACUCUGAUAUCAGAUGGAGGAGGGCCAAGGUGUUCAGCCCAGCUUCGUACAGCCAAGGGUGACCAAUGACAAAUAAGAGAGAUUACAAUUUCCGCCUAAGUUCCUGACAAAGAAUUGCCAACAUAAGCCUGUGGAUCAGGGCUGAAGUUCUGGGUAGAAACUUGAGAAUCACCAACGUUCCCAAUGAAAGACUCUUUCAUAAGAAAACAUGCGGCUUUGGUGCAGGUACAUUUUAAGCCAAAUUAUAGAAAGGGCACAGUCCCAAGCUUCAAAAUUCUCAGUGCAUUAUGUAGGCAACUUGAUUAACAGGACUAUCAAAUGUCUCUCAGAGAGAAUGCUUUGAAUGUUUUACCUUUUUAAAAAAAAAAAAAAGAAAGAAAAACACUUCCAAGUUGACAUGUAAAAAUUAACUACAUUUUUCAACAAGAUAUUGGAGCUUGUUAAAUUGUCAUUCAUUCCAUGGGUAUUCAUUAGAUAUCUCCACAUCUGACAGACACCAUAUUAGACUUUGAAAUACAAAGAUGUACAAGACACAUUUCCUUCCCUCAAGGAGCCUCAUGACUAAUUUGUUUUGUGCUACAUCAUAAAUGUGCCUGGUAUGCUUGUCUAGCUCUUCUUCCUUCUUUGGGAUUUUCUUCAGGUAGGGGUGAGUACACAUCUUGGUUUGCUCAGGACAGUCCCGAUUUGUGUGCACAGCCGGAAUUCUUGCUAACUCUACCCUUUGCUCUCCAGAAAGCCUCAGUUUGGUUGAUAGGAUGAUAUAGUAAUCCUAACCAUAAGCCCUGAUGAAUGAGUAGUCUUAAGAAGACAUGUUUUUAUCUGGUGACUGGCUCUUCCAUCCACAUCUGGUUAAACCAGUAGUGAACAUCUGUCUGAAGUAAAGCCAAUCAGAUUCCCUCUCUUGAAAAUUUGCACUAAGACUCAGAGGUUGAGCCAGAUGGAGUUGAGCAAUGGAGCUGAGGUAAGGUAGAGUGGCCAGCCACCAGAUCUAUGACAACAACCCAGAGCCAUAUCUGCAACGUAUCCUUGUGAGGGAAAAGGAAUCAAGAGCUUUGGACAGAAGCCAUGU
RNAcentral lists this long non-coding RNA (1356 nucleotides) under Vulpes vulpes (red fox). RNAcentral's name for it is "lncRNA (ENSVVUG00000029273.1)". Lineage: Eukaryota; Metazoa; Chordata; Mammalia; Carnivora; Canidae. The record is from RNAcentral.